Long non-coding RNA from Monopterus albus (swamp eel), 754 nucleotides. RefSeq lists it as uncharacterized. The transcript has 3 exons. The record is from RefSeq and is a predicted model, not a curated record. Lineage: Eukaryota; Metazoa; Chordata; Actinopteri; Synbranchiformes; Synbranchidae.
CCGUAGCACUUUUGCAAUGUUUUUGUCCAACUGCAGUGAUUAAGUAAGCAGUGAGUAAGAUGACUAACAUAUCAUGAGAUGUAGAUCCAAUAUUUAAUCUUACAGCUGCUGUCUCACCAGUUAACAGAUUUACGGACUUUCUAACCAAAUAUUUUGAUUAUCCGUGAAGUAGCCCAUAUUUUCCUAUCCUGCAGAAAUCCUGAGUGUUAGUGGUUUGAGGUUCGUGAAGCUCCGAGUCAUGGGAUAGUUGUGGAAGUCGCUGUAACGUUAGUUAGCUCAAGCUAGUGCUGUUAUUAUAGCAGCUAGAUGAAUAACAAUGGCACAGAUGUAUUGAGAACACCAGUCUUAAGUUCGCCAGGAAACCAGGAGGGGAAAAGCGCCGCAUGCUUCAUCAUCACCGCCCCUUCCCCGUCUUGGUCCAGCUCGGACAAGCGGGCCUCAGAGCUGCUGCACCUGAUAGAUUUAACCUAACGGGUAAAACUGGACCUACACUAGGCCACUCUCAGGCUGAUUCAUCACGGCAUCGCCAGCGCAGCAAAUGCCGCUACCGAGAAAACACCGACAGACUGGGGGACAUCACUGUUGCCACAGCAACUAGCUGAAUCACGAUUUCCGGUCUGAUGAGCGAUAUUUCAAAAUAAAAGCAGUGCUUUAAUUUAAACGUAUAUACAUGAGAGUUGAUUAAGGAUUAGACUUGUUAAUCUCCUGACGAUUUCUUGGUUAAUCAACAUAUUGUUUGGUUAGUAUAGUGACA